RNAcentral lists this ribosomal RNA (534 nucleotides) under uncultured bacterium. RNAcentral describes it as "bacterial SSU rRNA". It matches the Rfam family "Bacterial small subunit ribosomal RNA", at positions 767 to 1304 of the family's 1533-position model. The record is from RNAcentral.
AGCUAAUAGAUACCCGGGUAGUCCACGCCCUAAACGAUGUCUACUAGUUGUUGGUGGAGUAAAAUCCAUGAGUAAACGCAGCUAAACGCGUGAAGUAGACCGCCUGGGGAGUACGGUCGCAAGAUUAAAACUCAAAGGAAUUGACAGGGGGCCCGCACAAGCGGUGGAUUAUGUGGAUUAAUUCGAUGCAACGCGAAAACCUUACCUGGCCUUGACAUGCCACUAACGAAGCAGAGAUGCAUUAGGUGCCCGUAAGGGAAAGUGGACACAGGUGCUGCAUGGCUGUCGUCAGCUCGUGUCGUGAGAUGUUGGGUUAAGUCCCGCAACGAGCGCAACCCUUGCCAUUAAUUGCCAUCAUUUAGUUGGGCACUUUAAUGGGACUGCCGGUGACAAACCGGAGGAAGGUGGGGAUGACGUCAAGUCCUCAUGGCCCUUAUGGCCAGGGCUUCACACGUAAUACAAUGGUCGGUACAGAGAGUUGCCAACCCGCAGGGGAGCUAAUCUCAGAAAGCCGAUCGUAGUCCGGAUUGUUCU